This 1155-nucleotide ribosomal RNA is filed under the name Campylobacter jejuni. Its description in RNAcentral is "partial 23S ribosomal RNA". It matches the Rfam family "Bacterial large subunit ribosomal RNA", at positions 1759 to 2925 of the family's 2925-position model. Lineage: Bacteria; Pseudomonadati; Campylobacterota; Epsilonproteobacteria; Campylobacterales; Campylobacteraceae. The record is from RNAcentral.
ACUCCGAAAGCAAGGAAACUUACAACAAAGAGUCCCUCCCGACUGUUUACCAAAAACACAGCACUCUGCUAACUCGUAAGAGGAUGUAUAGGGUGUGACGCCUGCCCGGUGCUCGAAGGUUAAUUGAUGGGGUUAGCAUUAGCGAAGCUCUUGAUCGAAGCCCGAGUAAACGGCGGCCGUAACUAUAACGGUCCUAAGGUAGCGAAAUUCCUUGUCGGUUAAAUACCGACCUGCAUGAAUGGCGUAACGAGAUGGGAGCUGUCUCAAAGAGGGAUCCAGUGAAAUUGUAGUGGAGGUGAAAAUUCCUCCUACCCGCGGCAAGACGGAAAGACCCCGUGGACCUUUACUACAGCUUGACACUGCUACUUGGAUAAGAAUGUGCAGGAUAGGUGGGAGGCUUUGAGUAUAUGACGCCAGUUGUAUAUGAGCCAUUGUUGAGAUACCACUCUUUCUUAUUUGGGUAGCUAACCAGCUUGAGUUAUCCUCAAGUGGGACAAUGUCUGGUGGGUAGUUUGACUGGGGCGGUCGCCUCCCAAAUAAUAACGGAGGCUUACAAAGGUUGGCUCAGAACGGUUGGAAAUCGUUCGUAGAGUAUAAAGGUAUAAGCCAGCUUAACUGCAAGACAUACAAGUCAAGCAGAGACGAAAGUCGGUCUUAGUGAUCCGGUGGUUCUGUGUGGAAGGGCCAUCGCUCAAAGGAUAAAAGGUACCCCGGGGAUAACAGGCUGAUCUCCCCCAAGAGCUCACAUCGACGGGGAGGUUUGGCACCUCGAUGUCGGCUCAUCGCAUCCUGGGGCUGGAGCAGGUCCCAAGGGUAUGGCUGUUCGCCAUUUAAAGCGGUACGCGAGCUGGGUUCAGAACGUCGUGAGACAGUUCGGUCCCUAUCUGCCGUGGGCGUAAGAAGAUUGAAGAGAUUUGACCCUAGUACGAGAGGACCGGGUUGAACAAACCACUGGUGUAGCUGUUGUUCUGCCAAGAGCAUCGCAGCGUAGCUAAGUUUGGAAAGGAUAAACGCUGAAAGCAUCUAAGCGUGAAGCCAACUCUAAGAUGAAUCUUCUCUAAGCUCUCUAGAAGACUACUAGUUUGAUAGGCUGGGUGUGUAAUGGAUGAAAGUCCUUUAGCUGACCAGUACUAAUAGAGCGUUUGGCUUAUCUUU